UGAUCUUACUGUAUUCAACUUAUACACAC
Molecule: non-coding RNA, 29 nt
Filed under: Bombyx mori (domestic silkworm)
Lineage: Eukaryota; Metazoa; Arthropoda; Insecta; Lepidoptera; Bombycidae
Source: RNAcentral